GCAGAGGUAUCGAAGCGGUCAUAACGGGGCUGACUCGAAAUCAGUUUGUGGAUAACACCACACGAGGGUUCGAAUCCCUCCCUCUGCGCCA
RNAcentral lists this transfer RNA (91 nucleotides) under Clostridia bacterium. Its description in RNAcentral is "tRNA-Ser". It matches the Rfam family "tRNA". Rfam says of the family: Transfer RNA (tRNA) molecules are approximately 80 nucleotides in length. Their secondary structure includes four short double-helical elements and three loops (D, anti-codon, and T loops). RNAcentral also lists the same sequence under 1 other name. The record is from RNAcentral. Lineage: Bacteria; Bacillati; Bacillota; Clostridia.